CAGUAGGUAGUUUAUAAAAAUAUUAAUUUUGGGGAUUAAUGAUGAGGAGUUGCUUCCUUUUUACUGA
RNAcentral lists this transfer RNA (67 nucleotides) under Hospesneotomae barberi. RNAcentral describes it as "Triatoma barberi tRNA-Pro". Lineage: Eukaryota; Metazoa; Arthropoda; Insecta; Hemiptera; Reduviidae. The record is from RNAcentral.